Molecule: long non-coding RNA, 352 nt
Filed under: Phaseolus vulgaris (common bean)
Lineage: Eukaryota; Viridiplantae; Streptophyta; Magnoliopsida; Fabales; Fabaceae
Description: long non-coding RNA (PVUL_LNC005012)
Source: RNAcentral
AUGGGCGCGAGUAGUGACCCGACCCAAGACGGGUCGGACGAGCAGCAGAAGCGGUCGGAGAUCUAUACGUACGAGGCGCCAUGGCACAUCUACGCCAUGAACUGGAGCGUCCGCCGUGACAAGAAGUACCGUCUGGCCAUCGCCUCUCUCCUCGAACAGUACCCUAACCGCGUCGAGAUCGUGCAGCUGGACGACUCCAACGGCGAGAUCCGCUCCGACCCCAACCUCUCCUUCGAGCACCCCUACCCUCCCACCAAGGCCAUCUUCAUCCCCGACAAGGACUGCCACCGCCCCGACCUCCUCGCUACCUCCUCCGACUUCCUCCGAGUCUGGCGCAUCGCCGACACCGACG